GUCAAAAGGUGGUUCUGGCUGAACAUGAGACAAGCGCCUGUUUUGUAAAUAAAAAAUGCAAAUGAUACCCCAAAAUUCACAUGAAUCCUAGCAGCAUGCUAAUCAUGCAUCAAAGCCUGUUGAAAACUAAGUAUGUAAGUACAUGUAAGUGAUGUGAAAUGGCUAGCUAGUUAGCGGGAUGCGCGCUAAUAGCGUUUCGAUUGGUGUCCUUCGAGCCCAGGGAGGAGCGGGACGGAAGCUAUAGGGUUACAUUGAUGCUGUUGACCCGCAUCACUGGUUGCUGCGGAAAAGGAGGAGAUCAAAAGUGGGGUGAGUGUAACUGAUGUGAAAUGGCUAGCUAGUUAGCGGUGGUGCACGCUAAUAGCGUUUCAAGCGGUGACUUCACUCGCUCUGAGACCUUGAAGUAGUUGUUCCCCUUGCUCUGCAAGGGCCGCGGCUUUCUUGGAGCGAUGGGUAACAAUAUUUCGUGGGAGGCAGCUGUAGAUGUGCGCAGAGGGUCCCUGGUUCAAAUCCAGGACCUGAGCCCUAGGACCAUGCCCCAGGACUACCUGACAUGAUUACUCCUUGCUGUCCCCAGUCCACCUGGCCAUGCUGCUGUUCCAGUUUCAACUGACCUGAGCCCUAGGACCAUGCCCCAGGACUACCUGACAUGAUGACUCCUUGCUGUCCCCAGUCCACCUGGCCAUGCUGCUGCUCCAGUUUCAACUUCCACCUGACUGUGCUGCUGCUCCAGUUUCAACUGUUCUGCCUUAUUAUUAUUCGACCAUGCUGGUCAUUUAUGAACAUUUGAACAUCUUGACCAUGUUCUGUUAUAAUCUCCACCUGGCACAGCCAGAAGAGGACUGGCCACCCCACAUAGCCUGGUUCCUCUCUAGGUUUCUUCCUAGGUUUUGGCCUUUCUAGGGAGUUUUUCCUAGCCACCGUGCUUCUACACCUGCAUUGCUUGCUGUUUGGGGUUUUAGGCUGGGUUUCUGUACAGCACCUUGUGACAUUGGCUGAUGUAAAAAGGGCUUUAUAAAUUAAUUUGAUUGAUUGAUUAUUCUGUAUGUAAAUUCGAGACACUCAAUUUCGUAUGAUAUGUUACGAAUUACAAUUCAUAUGAUAUGUUGAGGGUUAAGGUAAGGGUUAGGAGUUAGGUUAAAGGGUUAAGUAACCUUCUAUCUCAUGUAACCAUACCAAAUGUAAGAUAUCAUACUAAUUUCAGUGUCCUGAAUUUACCACUGGGCGAAAUUGUCAAUAUCAGGGUAUAUCUUUAUCUAUUUAUUUACAGAUAUAGAGUAGGAGUAGACAUGCUCCAGAUACCAAUGUCCUUAAUUUCAUAUAUGGAGCUAGGAUAUUCUCCGUUUUGAUUCCAAAACAUCCGGUGAUUUUGCAGAAAUACUCAUAAUAAACAUUGAUAAAAGAUACAACUGUUAUUCACAUAAUUAAAG
Long non-coding RNA from Oncorhynchus tshawytscha (Chinook salmon), 1430 nucleotides. Lineage: Eukaryota; Metazoa; Chordata; Actinopteri; Salmoniformes; Salmonidae. The record is from Ensembl.